Molecule: transfer RNA, 66 nt
Filed under: Clanoptilus assimilis
Lineage: Eukaryota; Metazoa; Arthropoda; Insecta; Coleoptera; Melyridae
Description: tRNA-Phe
Source: RNAcentral
ACUUAAAUAGCUUAUAUCUAGAGUUUAAUAUUGAAGAUAUUAAGGAAAUAAUUUUAUUUUUAAGUA